GACGAACGCUGGCGGCGUGCUUAACACAUGCAAGUCGAACGGAAAGGCCCUGCUUGCAGGGUACUCGAGUGGCGAACGGGUGAGUAACACGUGGGUGAUCUGCCCUGCACUUCGGGAUAAGCCUGGGAAACUGGGUCUAAUACCUGAUAGGAGCCACUUUUAGUGUGAUGGUUGGAAAGUUUUUCCGGUGUAGGAUGAGCUCGCGGGCUAUCAGCUUGUUGGGGGGGUAAUGGCCUACCAAGGCGGCGACGGGUAGCCGGCCUGAGAGGGUGGACGGCGACACUGAGACUGAGGUACGGCCCAGACUCCUACGGGAGGCAGCAGUGGGGAAUAUUGCACAAUGGGCGCAAGCCUGAUGCAGCGACGCCGCGUGUGGGAUGACGGCCUUCGGGUUGUAAACUCCUUUCGCUAGGGACGAAGCUUUUUGUGACGGUACCUAGAUAAGAAGCACCGGCUAACUACGUG
This 465-nucleotide ribosomal RNA is filed under the name uncultured bacterium. Its description in RNAcentral is "partial 16S ribosomal RNA". It matches the Rfam family "Bacterial small subunit ribosomal RNA", at positions 28 to 507 of the family's 1533-position model. The record is from RNAcentral.